CCUACGGGUGGCAGCAGUGGGGAAUAUUGGACAAUGGGGGAAACCCUGAUGCAGCGACGCCGCGUGAGUGAAGAAGUAUUUCGGUAUGUAAAGCUCUAUCAGCAGGGAAGAAAAUGACGGUACCUGAGUAAGAAGCCCCGGCCAACUACGUGCCAGCAGCCGCGGUAAUACGUAGGGGGCAAGCGUUAUCCGGAUGUACUGGGUGUAAAGGGAGCGUAGACGGCGGGGCAAGUCUGGUGUGAAAGGCGGGGGCUCAACCCCGGGACUGCAUUGGAAACUGUUGGGCUGGAGUGCAGGAGAGGUAAGCGGAAUUCCUAGUGUAGCGGUGAAAUGCGUAGAUAUUAGGAGGAACACCAGUGGCGAAGGCGGCUUACUGGACUGUAACUGACGUUGAGGCUCGAAAGCGUGGGGAGCAAACAGGAUUAGAUACCCCAGUAGUC
This 440-nucleotide ribosomal RNA is filed under the name uncultured bacterium. RNAcentral's name for it is "partial 16S ribosomal RNA". It matches the Rfam family "Bacterial small subunit ribosomal RNA", at positions 338 to 795 of the family's 1533-position model. The record is from RNAcentral.